GCCUUCGUGGUGUAACGGUAGCACACUCGGCGUCUUAAUCGAGAGAUCUAGGUUCGAGUUCCGGCGAGGGCA
Molecule: transfer RNA, 72 nt
Filed under: Stegodyphus mimosarum
Lineage: Eukaryota; Metazoa; Arthropoda; Arachnida; Araneae; Eresidae
Rfam family: tRNA
About the family: Transfer RNA (tRNA) molecules are approximately 80 nucleotides in length. Their secondary structure includes four short double-helical elements and three loops (D, anti-codon, and T loops). Further hydrogen bonds mediate the characteristic L-shaped molecular structure. tRNAs have two regions of fundamental functional importance: the anti-codon, which is responsible for specific mRNA codon recognition, and the 3' end, to which the tRNAs corresponding amino acid is attached (by aminoacyl-tRNA synthetases). tRNAs cope with the degeneracy of the genetic code in two manners: having more than one tRNA (with a specific anti-codon) for a particular amino acid; and 'wobble' base-pairing, i.e. permitting non-standard base-pairing at the 3rd anti-codon position.
Source: Rfam by way of RNAcentral